AGAACGAACGCUGGCGGCAGGCUUAACACAUGCAAGUCGAACGCCCCGCAAGGGGGAGUGGCAGACGGGUGAGUAACGCGUGGGAACCUACCCAAUUCUACGGAACAACUGAGGGAAACUUCAGCUAAUACCGUAUACGCCCGAUAGGGGAAAGAUUUAUCGGAGUUGGAUGGGCCCGCGUUGGAUUAGCUAGUUGGUGGGUAAUGGCCUACCAAGGCGACGAUCCAUAGCUGGUCUGAGAGGAUGAUCAGCCACACUGGGACUGAGACACGGCCCAGACUCCGUACGGGGAGGCAGCAGGUGGGGAAUAUUGGACAAUGGGCGACAAGGCCUGAUCCGAGCCAUCGCCGCGUGAGUGAUGAAGGUCCUUAGGGUUAUAAGC
This 382-nucleotide ribosomal RNA is filed under the name uncultured soil bacterium. RNAcentral's name for it is "bacterial SSU rRNA". It matches the Rfam family "Bacterial small subunit ribosomal RNA", at positions 26 to 431 of the family's 1533-position model. The record is from RNAcentral.